CUUCAGCUCUGUCAUUAGCCUGCCAAGUCACCCAAGCCUCAGUUUCUUCAUCUGCAAAAUGGGACCAGUAAGCUUUGUGUGGAAAUGUAUCACGGGCCUGAAGCAAGAUUCCUCAUGGAAAAGGGCCUGGGACAGUCGUGGUCGAUGGAAACUGCUGGUGAGCAUUGUCUCCUUCUCUGUGGAUCCAAAAUGACAUUUUAUGACAGCAGAGCGGACACACAACACUGCUACAGCGAGUAGUUAAUGAGCACUCACUAUGUGCCCAACACUGGGCUAAGGAUUUUCUUAUCUAACUCACUGAAGCCUCAUAAACUAUGCUCUGUGGUGGACAAGAGACAUGAUGCCCAUUUUACAGAGAGGGAAACUGAGGCACAAAGACCGAAACCCAGCUGUGGGGAACAUCUCUACCUGGACCAGACCCCAUCUGGAGUCUGGCACUCCCAUGAGGUCUCAGCAGCACCCAGGGAUGCAGGCCAGACCUCCAUAGCUCCAAGAGGUUGUGAGGUGCCAUCCCUGGUUAAGAAGGAGAGAGGUUGGUGGAGCGCUAAGAAGCGAUGCCAGGAAGAAGGUAUGGGGUGAGGAGAGAUGAGGUGAGCGCUUUCUCUGCUAAGCGUCGUCUCAGUCCUGAGUCCGGGAGCACCGGGUACGCACCCUGGGGCCGCGUCCAGUGUAUGUGUGGCGCACACCUUCCGGGCACCACAUCCACCGCCAGGGUCACGGCGUGGCACAGCACAGACAGGAACCCUGGUGGCAAAGAGCUUCUGCUUUGGAGGGAGAGGGCAGACGACUGGUCAACCUCGGAGUGUUGGCUCAGGAACAGACCAGAAAAAGAUCAGUGGACAGAGCGAAGAGUAGCCAAGCCUCGAGAAGAGACUUGUGAGCACUAAGAAGCCGCAGCGUUAUGAUCUUGGGUAGGGAAGCCCUGCCUCAGCAGGUGACCAAAUCUUAAAGGAGAAAACUGAAUUUAAAUAUGUUAACGUUCAGCCUUGAGGGCUUCCCUGAGAGCUCAGU
RNAcentral lists this long non-coding RNA (1011 nucleotides) under Bos indicus x Bos taurus (hybrid cattle). RNAcentral's name for it is "lncRNA (ENSBIXG00005030828.1)". The record is from RNAcentral. Lineage: Eukaryota; Metazoa; Chordata; Mammalia; Artiodactyla; Bovidae.